Paramuricea clavata is the source of this 288-nucleotide non-coding RNA. NCBI's taxonomy places the organism in Eukaryota, Metazoa, Cnidaria, Anthozoa, Malacalcyonacea, Plexauridae. The record is from the annotation of a GenBank genome assembly.
UGCAGAUGUCUUGCAGUGCCUAAUAUUUUGGCGAGAAAUACUGUUGUUUACCUCGUACGAGGAAGUUUUGAAGCGUUUGCUGACCUUACUAGGAAAAUCCUGGUUCAAUAUACGGCAUAUUAAACGAAUUGUAUUAGAAACAAACGAAUUGUGCACGAAAAGCCAAGGGCAUUUCGGCACGUUCUUGCUCGACACCAAUGGGUUGUUGUGGGAACAAAACCGAGACCACAAAUGACAUUAAUAUGGGAGAAAGCGACCAGAAAGACAAUGGGAAUUAUGGUGAGUAAA